CACAGAUACAGUUCAAUUGCCAUGGAGCCAAAGUCUUUCCCAUAGUCUUUCAUUAUACCAAUGGGCUCCAUGGCAUAGCUAUCUGGGGUAUCACCGCUCAAACAGGGCAAGCACCGAAUGACCCGGCUUUCGUGUCUUUGCAGGAGAAAAUCAAGUGUUUCAACAUGGGGCCAUAGUCUAAAGGCAGCAGGCGGGCAACCAGGCUCCUCCAAUGCACAGUGGCGAGAUUGGUCUCG
Pelobates cultripes (western spadefoot toad) is the source of this 236-nucleotide non-coding RNA. Lineage: Eukaryota; Metazoa; Chordata; Amphibia; Anura; Pelobatidae. The record is from the annotation of a GenBank genome assembly.